CUUUUCCCCCAUUUUCUCCAAACCCGAGAAACAAAAACCUCAGAAUUAUCUCUUUUGAUCCCAAAAAUAUGUUAGGUUUUGUUAAAAGGAAUGGACUUUCUUCCAAAAUUCUUAAAAUUUAUCGAUUUGGAGCUGAUGCAAUCUCAAUUGCUGAUAAAGGACCCAGUAAGCGAGCACCUCAAUUACAUCUAUGGAGAUUGAGGGCCGGAGAUUACCCUAAAACCUAGAGAUGUGAUUCAGUGUGUUGAAUAUGGAAGAAGAAAAGAAAUUAAUUUUCUGAUUGUUCUCAACCUGUCUGCUCGUCGUCAUCGAUAGUUGCACAAAGAAACUAGCAUUCUUAUUUCCUGCUCAUCUAGGUAUGUUUCUGCAGUCUUAACCAUCAAUUGCAGUUGUGGAACACAGAGUUUGUCUGAUCAUAAAUUUACUCUCUAUGUUUUAAGUAGGGUUCAUUUUACAUGAUUUUCUAUCUACUUUUAUUAAUAUUUUUGUAUGCUUGUGUUAUUAAACUUAGAAGAUAUUUGGUGGUAUCUUUGAUUGAAAAUAAAGGUGGUGAAUGAUUGUGAUUAUUGAAUAAUUUGGCUAAUCCUUUCUGUCAUUCUAGAGCUAAACUAAGUAGUUUUUUUUUGCACCCAGAGUGGUAGGCAGUGAUGCUUUUGAAUUUAAAGAGAAAGAUGACUAAUUCUAUUUCAAUUGGAGGCUUCUAAACCCAUGAACUAGAUAAGAAAUAAAUAUUUGUGUGGUCAAAACAAAACUUUAUUUUUGAUGUAAUGGUGUAUCUAAUAUGUACUAUGAAAUAGAAGAACCUUUGUUCUACACAUACACAUUUAGUAUGUUGCAUGGUUAACAAAUUAUAUGAUUGAAAAACAAAGAGUAAGAUUAUUUAGGCAACAAAAGAAAAUGCUAUAGAGAGCAAAUUCACUAUGCAUUUCGAGUGAAAGAAAUUAAAAAAUUGCAAACACCCAAGCAAAAGAUAACUUGUUUUAUGAAGUCCGGUGGAGAUCUUGGCCCUCAAAAUAUCCACUAAUAAUGUCAAGAGCUAUGGGACUCAUUCAAGCUAUGCUUGAUGGGAAUCCUAUUUCGGCGAGGACUGCGUAAACUAACAGGACAUAACUAAUGAAUUUCUGGUUUAACGGUUUAGAAGUAUAACGGAUUUACUCAUAAAAGGAUGUGCAAGUGGUGUGCUUUUAAGACAAUGUUGUUCAUUAUAUAGUAGAGAAGAUGUGUAAUACAAGUUAGAUAUUACAGUGAGUUGAAACUAUAAUGAAAUAUAUGUAGUUUCUAAUUUUGAAUUUUUAUGUUGUACUGUCUUCCGUAGAUACAGAAGCUGUUUGCGCAAAGUUUUGUAUUAACCUUUUGUGCUGAAUUUCUUGACAAACCUUGUCUAUUCCUUUUUCCAUUUUCAUUAGUAAUUUAAUUUUAAUUUAGAAGUGUUUGCAUGGAGCAAAAAUCACAUGUACAGAGGUUUUGUUUUUCCUGUUUCAUGAACUGAAUAUAUUUAUAAACUGAUUUGAUGAAGACUUGAUGAUAAGCCAUUGCUGCAGCUUUUUCUUAUGAUCAGGAGCAAUAUCAAGUGGUUUUAUAACUUAUUCAGCUCAUGAGAACUUGAGUGCAAAUAAAGUUUUUGUACGUACCGAUUUCAUUGCCGCCUGUUGUUUCCCCUCUUGAACAUUAUGGUAAGAUAGAGUUAUCUUGAGACAAGGGUCUUUUGGAAAUAAUCUCUCAACUUUCAUGAGGUAGUGGUACGGCCUGCAACACUCUAUCAUCUCCAAAACCCCACAUAGUGAGAUUAUACCGGUUA
Molecule: long non-coding RNA, 1798 nt
Organism: Solanum tuberosum (potato)
Lineage: Eukaryota; Viridiplantae; Streptophyta; Magnoliopsida; Solanales; Solanaceae
Exons: 3
Source: RefSeq, a predicted model, not a curated record